UUUGCACCGUACUACAUGCGGAACUAUAUCGCCGCAGGUUCCACCCAAAAAUAUUUAGAAUAUUUUAUGUAAAUAUCAGGCCGCUGCCAACAUGAUGUUUCUAUUAUGUUUCAGGAGAAGUUUAGAUCUUUUUGGACAGUUAUUGCAGCCAACAGCCAACAUUCUAAAUGAGUAUAAAACAAUUCUAUGAGGUAAUAUAUCCCUCUGUGAUAAUAGUUUAACAUAUGGGCUACUCGUGGUUGCAUGCUAAAUUAUUGCUGGUAUCAACUUUAUUAUUAGUUUAGUUAUUAUUACAAGCAUCUCAAUUUUUCAGUCAAAUGCAUCUAAAAUGUUUCUUGAUUCACGCAUGUAUAUUUCAAAGAGGAAUGCAGCCUUGAGUAAAUGAAUAUUGCAAAGCUUAAUACCAGUCCCAAAAACUUGCUCUGGCCAGAGAAAGAGGCCAAUGUCUGGCGUGGUCUGUUCAAUCUACUACAUGUAAUUUGGUGUUCUAUUGUGCGCACCAUCAGUUUUUGUUGUUGUAUAAGUUCUACUUCAAAUAUGUGUAGCUAGACCCCGUCGAAGUGAUCUUUUUGUUUCUCGUCUCAUGUAACUGAAGAAAAUGAGAGAAGGUAUUGGACACUGGUCAUGUAUGUAGUCGGCAGAGCUGUUUUAUGCAAUGCCUAUUGUCACAAUAGCAUAUAUGUCUAUACGGGGAGGAGACCAAGAGAGUACAUCAGAAGCCAUUGAUUUGCCAUGGAAUAUUAAAAGCUUUCAGAUUACCUGUUCAUAUGAUGGUAUCCACAAGAAACUUCCUAUCCUGUAUGUUUUAGCAUGCUCCACACAAAUAUAUUAAUUAAUUUGUGUAGGUAUGCUUCUCCUUCUUUCAGUUCCUGAAUAAUUAUACCACCAUCUGUGUGGAGUAUUUUGUAGUGCUCCACACAAAUAGAUAAAUUAUUUUUUAUGAGUAUGCUUCUCCUUUUAUCAGCUCCUGAAGAAUUAUACUGAUGUCGUGUGCUUUAUUUGCAAGAUUUAUAUGACUUAAACAAGAACUUGUUAAAUAAUAUGAGUGCAUAUAAGUAGAUUGAUCUUGCCUCUUAUGUAGUCUGGUAGAUUUGGAAAGAAAGGAAUUGCAGAUUUUGUCUGGACAAAGAGAUGAAGCCAGAAAGGUAAAUGUCUCAAGUUCUACAGAAUGUUCGCCUCAUAUUGGAGGCAUUUGAAACAAGCCUUUGCUACUGUACAUCCAAGCUGGGUUCUUGAUGUUAAUUUCAUUUAUACGCAUAGUAAUAAAUUUUGCCCCUGGCUUCCUAAGCAUAUACUUUGUUCCUGGCUAGGAAUAAUUUCCGAGCAGUUUUACAAAUGGUGAAAAAGAAAGGGUUUUGUUUACUAUUUUUUAUGACCGUGGACUCAUGAGUUCAUAACAUAUAAUGUAUUAUUUGUGUUCAUUCCUUUAAUGUGGAUUAUAACAUGAUCUACCUUUGCAUAAACAUCGAGGACUACUUUUGGUUCAUAUUCAUGCAUCCACUUCUCGAUAUUGAGAUUUUUCACAUAUACUGAACUUGUCUUAGUCAGCCCAACUCAGCUGUAUGUGUGACAUUUAUAAGAUGACUCCGUAAAAUUCAUAGAAGACACUAUUCUUUUAUUCUGUUCUUUUGUUUCUUCCAGAUUUUGCUCUCCUCGCUUAUAUUUCGAUAUUGUUAAUUUGAUUAGAUGACUCGGUCGAUGAUGUUGGGCAUGUCCAUGGUAUCCAUUAAAAAACUUAAAAAAAGUCUUGCACCGGAAUAAAAUUAGAUAGCACACCACUUAUGAGUCGAAACAUAUGCAAGCCAAGCCGGUACCAUAAAAUUAGUAGAUUAGGUCCAUUCCAGCCGCUAAUUCUUUGUGCCAAUGCUAAGUAUGUGAUGAUCUUUCCACAAAAAAUCAAGUUUGUAUAGAGUGACCAAUGCUAAGUAUGUGAUAAGCUUGCACUGACUUUUAGUUACAUCUGAUGAUCUUUCCACAAAAAAUGUAUUAUAGAGUGUAAUAUUUACAGUGUGGGGAUGUUGGUGGCCAAGAAAGUUUAUGCCCUUGUGAAGACAUUACUAUGAAGUCCUAAGUUAUCCUGUAAAAAGGAUUCUUAUGAUACGCAUGGAUAAUACGAUUGAACCAACUGUUACCGGUGCAAUGCUUUUGGGGUCGACCAAAACAUUUAAAAAUGUUAAAUGUGGUUAUGUGAUAAAAUCAAGUAUGAAGGAGGAAGAGAUCAACACCAGCCGCGGCAACAAAGAUGACAGUGUGUCUCACUGAGCAUGAGCAAUGGCACACUCUUGUCGAGUACCUACCAAGAUGCUUCCCUGGUCAGACUUCGAGCACUUCCUCCUUGCCGCCGCCGCCUUGGCUAAUGUUGUUGUUUCCUCGGAUAAGCCGUAUCAGGUUGGUUCCAUUGCACUGCAAAUACUACCACUUCUAUUGGGCAACUAAAUUCAACUUGCAAGCACGGGAAAACAUGUACACCAAUGUUGUCGGGCGCGCGGAAGCCAAUUCCUUGGGUCACCCAUUGUACAUCUGCUGCUCUAACAGUAACCAUGCCUUGCUCCCAGUAAAUUUGAGCUCGCAGCCAUUUAGGUAGAUUCUUGUCAUGCUCACAUCUAGCAGCAAGAAAAAAGAGAAGCAGAUGACCAAACUGUAAUGUCUUAGUGGUAGUGUAGACCACCAAGAUAUGAUGCUCUAAUCCAAAAUAUUAUAGGAAUAUCUACUUACUUUAACCACUUUUCGUAAUUGGUAUUUAAUCCAUCUACAUGUAGAAACACGAAAUGCAGAUAUUGUUUUGUUGAGAAAUUUUAUGAUUUGCCCAAAUGAUUAUGGACCGUA
Molecule: non-coding RNA, 2826 nt
Organism: Aegilops tauschii subsp. strangulata
Lineage: Eukaryota; Viridiplantae; Streptophyta; Magnoliopsida; Poales; Poaceae
Source: RefSeq, a predicted model, not a curated record